UUCAAUUUUACAAACCCUAAAUCUCAUCUACGGCUUCAUCUUUAGCGAUUGUACUUGGCCAUACCCACUUCAGAAAUCCCUAAAACUCAAUCAUUCGAACUCUCAUUUAGCUUUCAUUGAAUUCAGUGCUAAGAACCCAAAAUCUAUAGAACCGGGUGAACAUUGAUAUGAUAGUGGCCUAUAUUAGGUUGGCCAUAGUUCAAGCUGGAGGUUUUCCGAUCAUCUUUAUGCUUUUGAGAUCUGAUUCAUACAUUUUCUUCACUACAGAGAGAUUUUAAUUUUAUUGAUCAUACAAGUAUUCCCGGAUGGAAAGAAUAAGAUAAAGUUGAUUGGUAAAGUUUGAGAUGCAUUGUUUGAAAGAAGCAAUCUGAAUCAUCUCUCUCAGAUCCUAUAUCGCAUAUGCUAAUGAUUUUUAAUCGACUGUGGUGAUUCGACUUGGUCACACUUUGCCACAAACGGGUCAAAUGGUUAAAUUUUCAUGGGCUUUUGGAAAUAAUGUCCAAGAAUUCAAUGAUUUGAAACGAGGAUCCUGCACUUCGUCAGGAAAUCGACCUUGAAGAUGAAAGAGUUGCAGGCACAUUGCAUUCUGUAUAGAUUGUGGAGUUUUAAUUGUAAAGGUUUACACCUGUGUUGCAAAACUCAAAUUAUAUGACCUUUUGCUACAUCUUGCCGUAUAGCAUAGGCAUUAGUUAUCCGAUGAGAAACCAAAGGGCAAGGCAACCAUACAUUAUCAGCUUCGGCUUGCAGGUGGUAACUUUGUUCUAAGUGGUGGCAAUCAUGGGAGAAGGAUAUCAACAUGAAAGAAAUGGAACAACAGUUGCAUGAGCAUGUGGGUCUACUAAGACAGAGUGAAUUAAUAAGAAUAAAUGCCAAGAAGGAGCUUAAAGAAAUGGAACUACAGUCACAAUUGGAUUGGCCUCAUAUGAU
Molecule: long non-coding RNA, 927 nt
Filed under: Helianthus annuus (common sunflower)
Lineage: Eukaryota; Viridiplantae; Streptophyta; Magnoliopsida; Asterales; Asteraceae
Description: sRNA HanXRQr2_Chr09g0375641
Source: RNAcentral